UCGAACGGUGAAGCCAAGCUUGCUUGGUGGAUCAGUGGCGAACGGGUGAGUAACACGUGAGCAACCUGCCCUGGACUCUGGGAUAAGCGCUGGAAACGGCGUCUAAUACUGGAUAUGAGCUCCUUCCGCAUGGUGGGGGUUGGAAAGAUUUUUCGGUCUGGGAUGGGCUCGCGGCCUAUCAGCUUGUUGGUGAGGUAAUGGCUCACCAAGGCGUCGACGGGUAGCCGGCCUGAGAGGGUGACCGGCCACACUGGGACUGAGACACGGCCCAGACUCCUACGGGAGGCAGCAGUGGGGAAUAUUGCACAAUGGGCGGAAGCCUGAUGCAGCAACGCCGCGUGAGGGAUGACGGCCUUCGGGUUGUAAACCUCUUUUAGCAGGGAAGAAGCGAAAGUGACGGUACCUGCAGAAAAAGCGCCGGCUAACUACGUGCCAGCAGCCGCGGUAAUACGUAGGGCGCAAGCGUUAUCCGGAAUUAUUGGGCGUAAAGAGCUCGUAGGCGGUUUGUCGCGUCUGCUGUGAAAUCCCGAGGCUCAACCUCGGGCCUGCAGUGGGUACGGGCAGACUAGAGUGCGGUAGGGGAGAUUGGAAUUCCUGGUGUAGCGGUGGAAUGCGCAGAUAUCAGGAGGAACACCGAUGGCGAAGGCAGAUCUCUGGGCCGUAACUGACGCUGAGGAGCGAAAGGGUGGGGAGCAAACAGGCUUAGAUACCCUGGUAGUCCACCCCGUAAACGUUGGGAACUAGUUGUGGGGACCAUUCCACGGUUUCCGUGACGCAGCUAACGCAUUAAGUUCCCCGCCUGGGGAGUACGGCCGCAAGGCUAAAACUCAAAGGAAUUGACGGGGACCCGCACAAGCGGCGGAGCAUGCGGAUUAAUUCGAUGCAACGCGAAGAACCUUACCAAGGCUUGACAUAUACGAGAACGGGCCAGAAAUGGUCAACUCUUUGGACACUCGUAAACAGGUGGUGCAUGGUUGUCGUCAGCUCGUGUCGUGAGAUGUUGGGUUAAGUCCCGCAACGAGCGCAACCCUCGUUCUAUGUUGCCAGCACGUAAUGGUGGGAACUCAUGGGAUACUGCCGGGGUCAACUCGGAGGAAGGUGGGGAUGACGUCAAAUCAUCAUGCCCCUUAUGUCUUGGGCUUCACGCAUGCUACAAUGGCCGGUACAAAGGGCUGCAAUACCGUAAGGUGGAGCGAAUCCCAAAAAGCCGGUCCCAGUUCGGAUUGAGGUCUGCAACUCGACCUCAUGAAGUCGGAGUCGCUAGUAAUCGCAGAUCAGCAACGCUGCGGUGAAUACGUUCCCGGGUCUUGUACACACCGCCCGUCAAGUCAUGAAAGUCGGUAACACCUGAAGCCGGU
Molecule: ribosomal RNA, 1358 nt
Filed under: Microbacterium sp. SBT-6
Lineage: Bacteria; Bacillati; Actinomycetota; Actinomycetes; Micrococcales; Microbacteriaceae
Description: bacterial SSU rRNA
Rfam family: Bacterial small subunit ribosomal RNA
Source: RNAcentral